RNAcentral lists this ribosomal RNA (164 nucleotides) under uncultured bacterium. RNAcentral describes it as "partial 16S ribosomal RNA". It matches the Rfam family "Bacterial small subunit ribosomal RNA", at positions 355 to 511 of the family's 1533-position model. The record is from RNAcentral.
UAGGGAAUCUUCCACAAUGGACGCAAGUCUGAUGGAGCAACGCCGCGUGAGUGAAGAAGGGUUUCGGCUCGUAAAACUCUGUUGUUAGAGAAGAACAAGGGUGAGAGUAACUGUUCACCCCUUGACGGUAUCUAACCAGAAAGCCACGGCUAACUACGUGCCAG